RNAcentral lists this transfer RNA (84 nucleotides) under Xylaria arbuscula. RNAcentral's name for it is "tRNA-Ser". It matches the Rfam family "tRNA". Rfam says of the family: Transfer RNA (tRNA) molecules are approximately 80 nucleotides in length. Their secondary structure includes four short double-helical elements and three loops (D, anti-codon, and T loops). Further hydrogen bonds mediate the characteristic L-shaped molecular structure. tRNAs have two regions of fundamental functional importance: the anti-codon, which is responsible for specific mRNA codon recognition, and the 3' end, to which the tRNAs corresponding amino acid is attached (by aminoacyl-tRNA synthetases). tRNAs cope with the degeneracy of the genetic code in two manners: having more than one tRNA (with a specific anti-codon) for a particular amino acid; and 'wobble' base-pairing, i.e. permitting non-standard base-pairing at the 3rd anti-codon position. The record is from RNAcentral. Lineage: Eukaryota; Fungi; Ascomycota; Sordariomycetes; Xylariales; Xylariaceae.
ACUGUGGUGGUCUAGUGGUUUGGACGCAUCUUAGAGCGAGCCCACGCUCAGGUGAGGUCGAGGGUUCGAAUCCCUCCCACAGCC